This is a long non-coding RNA of Triticum aestivum (bread wheat), 3649 nucleotides long. RefSeq lists it as uncharacterized. The transcript is spliced from 5 exons. NCBI's taxonomy places the organism in Eukaryota, Viridiplantae, Streptophyta, Magnoliopsida, Poales, Poaceae. The record is from RefSeq and is a predicted model, not a curated record.
UCGUCGCCGUUUUUACAAAAAAGUCCUUAUGGUUUUUGGUAAUUAAACCCGCAGUCCCUUUUUAAGUUGAAAAAAACGUUUCGUUUAGAAAUUUUACCAGGAAAACCUUGUGGUUUCCUGUAUUCAACCCGCGGUCCUUUUAAUGUGAGAAAAUCGCAAGGAAGACAGGCGGAUCUGGGCGCAGCGUCGAGGGAUCUAGCGGCUGGUGCGGCGGCUUGCUCCGGUGGCCGCGGUGUCCUGCUUAUCCAGAGAAACAGGGCAUGAGGGAGAGAGGAAAGAGAUGAAAAAGGAGAAGGAGCAGGGGCGCAAGGUGAGGGAGAGGGAUCUGGCGGGUGGUGCGGGGGGCUUCGGUGGCGGCGGCGUCCUUCUCAUCCAGAGAAAGGGAGAGACAGGGCGUGAGGGAGAUAGGAAAGAGAGGAAGAAAGGAGAAGGAGAGGGGGGCGCAAGGUGAGGGAGAUGGUCGCCGGCGGUGGCGCCUCCGGUGACCGGCCGGCGGCAGGACCGAUGGUGUCUGGAGUUUUGGACACCUGAGCGAGCUACCCUGCUGCUGCUAAUUCUUCUCUCCCCACGCCUCUGCUGCUGCUCCUUCUACUCCUCAGAUGCCCAUGCUUGCUCUCAAACAAUCAUUGUUGAAGGACUGAAGGGCAUGAUUUCUGGACCACAGAUGAUGCAUUUUAUUGGCAGGCACAAUCAAGGGCCCAUCAUCUUUCUGCUAUAGGUUCAACACAAACAACAGCUAUCUUGUUGAGAUUCAAUUGCUAUUCGGUGGAGAGCAGCCACAAAAAGUUCCUCAAUUGAUGCACAGUGGCCACCGAAAACAGAUCUCGCUUUCAAUCUCUAAUUGAUUCUCAGCUACAGAGUGGCAUGUAUCUAUAGACUUGCUAAUGUGAUGGCUAAUGCAUGUGUAUUAAUUCAUGAAUUAGCAAAAUAUUUCCCGUGAGAUGUGCUAAUAUACAAAUUUGAUGUUCACAGUGCCCUCCACUUUUUUUUUGUUAUGCCUAUAAGAGAUGACUUAUUUUCAAUUUUUAAAUAGAAAAGCACAGUAUGGUUGCUCUUAUAUACAGCUCAUAAAAAGGAAUUACAAAUAAGAAGAGUGAUGUGUUCUCCUCAAAACAAAAUUGCUGAAAUUCACAUGCAUGGUGGCGCCAUACAGCGAGCGCAUGGUGGCAGAGUUCACAAGCUAGAUCUCUGACUGGCGUAAUGGCUUGUCCUGAUGCAGAGAAGGACGGGGUUCAAGUUGUUGGGCCGGUGGCAGGGGCAGCAUGAUGUUUUCGUCAGGUAACAACCUAGCCAUCGACUCAAGAUUUAACUGAACCAAUUCCUUUAAUUCAAGCUCCAAAUCGUUGUUAUUUGAUUCACUAAUUGGUUGCUGGCAACAACUAAUUGGACAUAUAAUUGUUGAUUUAUGUACAAACAAUAUCUUCAGUAGUUUUCAGAUCUUCAAUAAGGAUCAUCAAGCCCUCUGUUUUUUAUAUGAAGAAUAGAUAUUGUAAUUGUGCCUCCAUUACGUCUAAAAGUCAGAUAUCGGAAAAAUGUCAUUGGCAUAUCUCUGUCACGAUGGAGGAUUGGUUAGACAGAAAAAGGACCUCUGGUUAUGUAUGACAUGAUGCGAGGCACAUAUCUCUGAAUGAAGCGCAACAAGAAUUGACAUCCUCUAAUGCUAACUGUUGAGCAUUCUUCUCUGAAGUAUCAGAGGUGUGGAUUGGAAUCAGUUUUUUUGCUGCACCCCCAUUCCGACGAGGUCACGCACACAUACCACUGGGAAUCCCACGAACCCUAUGUUCGAGCGCGAGCGACGGCAAUAGCAUCUGCAAGUACUUGACCAACACGCUACCCGGGUGUGGUAUCCACUAUUGAGGCCAAGCAACCUAGCUCGGUCAUCCUUAAGUGUGUUUGUGUCCACCACCUGAUGAAGAACGGGAGAAGAUUGCUGACUUUGUGCCUAGUGAUGGUUGCCUGAACUUCGUAGAGCAAAUUGACGAGGUGUUGAUUGCUGAAUUUGGUCUUAAGAGGCACGUCGUGGGAGAUAUCCCUUGUGGCAGGUUCAAAGUUGUGAUGGUAUCUGGUGUCUCCCAGCGAGAUUUGUUCCUUCUCUUAACAGUUACUAUUAAGAACAAAUUUAUGUUUCCAGCAAAAAAGUUGGCCGGCCCCAGCAAAAAAAAAGAACAGUUCCAGCCAAAAAAGAUCGCCGCCGUGGUCACAGGUGUCAACAAGCAGUCUUCGGAAUCAUCAAUAAGCCAACAGCGAGAAAUAAGUUCAAGAAUUGAGUUCCCUUAACAGGGAAAUAAGGAAGGGAAGAAACAAAUAGGGAACAAUCAGAUGAAGCAUCAAGGAAAAUGGAUUGAACAAUCAGAUGAAGCAUCAAGGAAAAUGGAUUGAACAAUCAGAUGAAGCAUCCAGCUCGAGGAGAAGCAUGGUCUGCAAGGAGACCAAUCAUCUUGAGGUGGUUCUUUCAGCUACUGCAUGUUCCAUUAGGGAGAAGGGUACUUAGUCGAUCUUAGGAGCCAGACUCUGCUUUCCUUGCAGGGAGAAUUUCAAUAAAUGGUACUAUUACUCUCCCAACAAUUCUUUUAUCACUACAAAAUGUGUAGGAACCUUAUUUUUCUUAAGUGGCAUAAUGUGAUUUCUUAAGUGUUGUGUUGUAACACUUUAGAGUAAAAGAAUAAUUAUGUAUGAAGAAUAAUAUUACCGAGUCAGGCAGAAUUUGACCUUAGUUCUGACCAAAUUAAUCUUUAUUUGUUUGCCAGGUUGUGUGUCAAACAUCACUUCAUGUUGUAGUCCAUUUUUUCCUUUCAAAAGCCACAUUAUGAAAUUUGGCUUUAUAAGAAGUUUCACUUUAUUAUUAGUGGAGAACGGGAGAUAAGGAAAGGGAAGGGAAAAACAGUAAUUCUAGCAACUAGCCAUUGUUCCGUGGCAAAACACAGGUGUUUGUUCUAUUAUGUCCAUCGGAAAUCUUUACGGAGGAGUUGGGACUGAGUGAGUGACAUAGAUUUGCUUGAGGUCACAAAUUCUUUUCUGCUGUUACUUGCAUCUUACUUGAAUUUUUUUCUUCAAGUUCUUCCUGUUUUCCCAUAUCCUCUGCUCUAUAGAAGCUGCUACAUCAAAUUAAGUAAGUGCAUCCUUCUUUUUUGUCCAAGUUUGUUCUAUUCUAUUACUCAGAAGUCUGUACAAGACUGAGAGAGUGAAGCAUAUUUGCUUGAGAUUUGAAUACUUUUUUGAUGUCGGGUUUGUACACUAUACAGUUUGAUUAAUGAAAACUGAUAAAAGUAGUGGCAAACACUUGAUUGAGUAAGCUACUGGAUUUUACCAGUAAUACACAGUAGUUUCUUGCAAUAUUAUCUGCAUGACAAGAAACACCCAUAUUUGAUUUUGCUCUGUGAUUGGUUCAAAUAUCACUUUUUGGCUAAAGCUGAUUGGAUACGAGUAGUAGUGCCAACAGUAAUAACUUUAAAUAUGAUUUUACCAUGGCUCUAAAUUUUAUUGCUGAUGAUUUGUUUCAGGAUAUUUGGAGAGGCUAUUUGCACCGUAGUUCAAGACAGCUGAUAGAGUAUAAGCUAGGCAACUCACUUAUAUUGUUACUUGUUUAAAUGGUUAUCUAUUCUGCCGGCAUAUUCACAUGCCAUAUUAAUUUCAGAAGAACAAUUUCUAA